UUGAGGUUCAUAUGGUUGAGGGCUA
Molecule: ribosomal RNA, 25 nt
Filed under: Simulium metatarsale
Lineage: Eukaryota; Metazoa; Arthropoda; Insecta; Diptera; Simuliidae
Description: partial 5.8S ribosomal RNA
Source: RNAcentral